CCUGUUUCCUACGUUUGCUGGCUGAGGCUGAAAGAUUCUCCCACUUUGUGCCCACUCCCCUUUGCCUUAUUUUUUCGCGCAGCUCUUCUCAUCUUACCAGUGCAGCUGUGAUUGCAGGGGCCCAGUCACACUAUUAAAGGGCCACAGUGCACAACCGCACCCCUGAAAACACCUUACGGAUGCGGGCCACAAUGCAGCCACACAAGCGGUAGUACUUUUACAGCACCACCCAUAAUUGGU
This is a non-coding RNA of Pelobates cultripes (western spadefoot toad), 240 nucleotides long. Lineage: Eukaryota; Metazoa; Chordata; Amphibia; Anura; Pelobatidae. The record is from the annotation of a GenBank genome assembly.